GACGAACGCUGGCGGCGUGCUUAACACAUGCAAGUCGAGCGGAAAGGCCCUGCUUUUGUGGGGUGCUCGAGUGGCGAACGGGUGAGUAACACGUGAGUAACCUGCCCUUGACUUUGGGAUAACUUCAGGAAACUGGGGCUAAUACCGGAUAGGAGCUCCUGCUGCAUGGUGGGGGUUGGAAAGUUUCGGCGGUUGGGGAUGGACUCGCGGCUUAUCAGCUUGUUGGUGGGGUAGUGGCUUACCAAGGCUUUGACGGGUAGCCGGCCUGAGAGGGUGACCGGCCACAUUGGGACUGAGAUACGGCCCAGACUCCUACGGGAGGCAGCAGUGGGGAAUAUUGCACAAUGGGCGGAAGCCUGAUGCAGCAACGCCGCGUGCGGGAUGACGGCCUUCGGGUUGUAGACCGCUUUCGCCUGUGACGAAGCGUGAGUGACGGUAAUGGGUAAAGAAGCACCGGCUAACUACGUG
This 468-nucleotide ribosomal RNA is filed under the name uncultured bacterium. RNAcentral describes it as "partial 16S ribosomal RNA". It matches the Rfam family "Bacterial small subunit ribosomal RNA", at positions 28 to 507 of the family's 1533-position model. The record is from RNAcentral.